UCCAGACUCCUACGGGAGGCAGCAGUGGGGAAUAUUGCACAAUGGGGGAAACCCUGAUGCAGCGACGCCGCGUGAGUGAAGAAGUAUUUCGGUAUGUAAAGCUCUAUCAGCAGGGAAGAAAUAGCGACCUUUGGGUCGCCAGACGGUACCUGACUAAGAAGCCCCGGCUAACUACGUGCCAGCAGCCGCGGUAAUACGUAGGGGGCAAGCGUUAUCCGGAUUUACUGGGUUUAAAGGGUGCGCAGGCGGAAGAUCAAGUCAGCGGUGAAAUUGAGAGGCUCAACCUCUUCGAGCCGUUGAAACUGGUUUUCUUGAGUGAGCGAGAAGUAUGCGGAAUGCGUGGUGUAGCGGUGAAAUGCAUAGAUAUCACGCAGAACUCCGAUUGCGAAGGCAGCAUACCGGCGCUCAACUGACGCUCAUGCACGAAAGUGUGGGUAUCGAACAGGAUUAGAUACCCCAGUA
This 462-nucleotide ribosomal RNA is filed under the name uncultured bacterium. Its description in RNAcentral is "bacterial SSU rRNA". It matches the Rfam family "Bacterial small subunit ribosomal RNA", at positions 330 to 792 of the family's 1533-position model. The record is from RNAcentral.